UUGCCACCUGUCCUCCUUACAGCCUCUAAUUUCACAAAAUCCCGCUUAAACUAAAACCCUAAACCAAAACAAUCGUAGAUGGCUUCCUUCUCCUACAAUCUUCUUUCCUUAUCCUUAUGGCAAAAUAGCGAUGAUGGCUAUUGAAUAAACCCUAGAUGAUGGCUAUUGAACAAACCGAACAACCCAGGUAAUACUUUCUCUUCAUCUUCUUGACCUGAAGAGUCUAGGGCUAAGCAUAGGAAUCCGCAUCAGCUUCGAUCUCUAUCUAUGAAAUUUUGGAAGACCAACGAUGGGAUCAUCAUCAUCAUCAAUGAUGUCACGAUUCAGCGAUCUAAGGUCAGAGUUUCCACGAUUCAGAUUGAAAUCGACUCUAUCCAAUAUCAAUUUAUUCAAGUUCGGUGUCAUAACUCUUCAGCAUCGCACUUCAGAUACUUCACAGAGUUGCAUUUUGAGUAUGAGAUUGUGAUGAUGAAAACCUUAUAUGUGUAGCCAUGGUGGUGUGUGGAGUCUGAGGAUGACCAUAAGAAGAUGAAGUUCUCCAUUAGGAUUCACCAUCUUUUUAUCACCAUGCUACCAUGACUUUGCUAGGCCGAGCACACCUGGUCUACCUCUAUUUUACAUCUACACCACCUACCAACUUCAUGGUGUUUUUGAGGAAUACAAUCUCAUUCGAAGGCUGCAAGUCUUUUUUGGAAUAAACAUUGACCUGUUUGCAUGGGAAGACAAAAGAACCCCGGUGAAGGAGUAUAAUCAUGCUCAGAACGAAAGGUUUACGAGCUACGCGGCAAUGGUAAUUUUUUUCACAAACAUGAUUCUUUGUUUGUUGAGUUCACAGUUAACAACAACAUUGGAUCAACUGGUUAACGAGAGAGUUGCAAAUGCUGAGGAAUGACUCAAGGCUACAAUGGCAUGCAAAAGGAAGUUCCAGAUGCUGCCACAUCAUCAUACUUGCUUUCAGCUGAUGAUAUUGGCUUUUUUGUAUUCGUGUCAUGUGAACCUGUGAGAAGGGAUCGAGCCCGUGGGCCAACUGUAUUAUCUUAACAGAUUGGACCAGUAAUACCAGGUAUUCUGCAGAAUCUUUUGUAUUUAUUUUUGUACAAAACCUUAUAAAUCAAGUAACUAACAGAUAAUUACUACUGAGAAUCUUGAACAAGAAAUUACCAAAACCUUUUGUAACUGAACAAUCUUGAAUGAUAUCAUGACGAUAGACCAUCGUCAACAACUGUUGUAAAAAUUCUUGAUUGUUUUAUUUUUCUAAUAAAGCAAUGCUUCGAAUUAGCGGGCAACGUUAGUAAUCAACGAAUCAAAUGGAGAUUGAGCCGAUAAUUCCGAUGAAUUAGCGGGCAACGUUAGUAAUAUGGUUCUAAAUGUAUAUCACUGGUGCUAAUUUCCGAUUUUGUUUCCCAUGAUUUUCAAUCUGUUAUUUUCAUUAAUACACUGUGUCCAGGUUAAUUUUUUAGAUUGAGAUCUGUAUGUUAACACAUUGUUGAUUGGUUCGAGGUUCAUAUGUAUUUUCUCCGCAGAUUUUGCGAAAGAUCAUCAGAUUCAAUAAGAUUAUUAGGUUUUUGUGAGAUUACGAUUGAGGAUUGUGUUUGGAUUGGAAUUGGGAUUGAUUCAUGGAGAAAUCGAUGAGAGAUUGAGGAAAACGAUGCCGGAACUAACGGUUGAUUGUCGAACGACGUCGUAUGGAGCAGUUUCUUUGAGUGGAUUUUGGUCGAAGCAUUGUGGUGAUGUUAGUUAUAAUCAGCUUCAUAAGGUAUUUUCAUGGUCGUCGUGUGCGUUCUAAGCACCGAAAAAAGCCUCUGAAACGGUUCUGUAAUCAUAAACGAAAUUUCUUCACCAAGUACAUAUCUCACAAAUACAACUUCUAAUGACGAUUUCUAAGAGACCAGUAUAUGUAUUCAUUGAAUCAUUGGCGAAAUCGGCAGUUUCCGGCGAAUCUGAGUUCCACCGAAAUCUAAUCAGUUCCAAAGAGUAGGUGUGGCCAGAGCUAGAGAUUGCAAUGGAUGAAAGAAAACGCAGAACCCAACACAUUUUAAAUGUCAGAUAAAUGAAGAGUUGGGUUCUCAGAUUUUGCAAUUUCACACAGAACCUUCAAGUGUUGCCUUCACAUCUAUCACUAAGGCAUACCAGUAGAAGGAAUGAAGAUGGAGUGAUUGAUCCAACAGAGUGUCAUAUUAGACUUGUGGUGGAAUUUGGGCAAAAAGUCUUUGACAUGUCAAUAAAGAGCUGGGCAAGACAAAUGGAAUCGUCCUUGCUUGAAAAAUGUGGCUUUUUAUGGCUAGAUGUUGAAUUUGUUAGUUAUGAUUAUGGAACCAUAUUAUUACCUGCAGGCUAUUGGAAACCAUGUCGUCCUUAUGGUGGGUGGUUCAAAUGGCCAUUUUGAGCUCAAUUUUUUCAAGCCAAUGAUUGCUAGAAAUAAAAAUUUUAAGUGUCUUCAUGUGAAUUAUAGGUAGUUUUUGUUGCUACUCGAGAUGUGAUGCCCAAAACACAUUUUUGCCACUUAAGCCAUCGAAGGUGUUCUCCCACAAGAAGCCAUGUUUUAUCUUGAUUUGAUCACUAAAUGUACUAACAAAGAUCGAGCCAGCUCCAUCUCCCGCUUUUUAGACGACACAGAGCAACAGGUGCAUGGCAUUCUCAAAUUUAUUGAUCUUGCGAGUAGUGAAUGGUUUUUCAAAAGCCGGUUAAGCAGGGAUCCUUUGAAAGAAACUCAAGCAAUCAACUAAAGUUUGUAAUCAUUAAGCGAUGUUAUAUUUGCUAAAAAUGAUAUAGCACUGGUUAUCACCAAUGCAACCGGCCGAACUCUCUUAAACGGUGUCACUAUAUAUGUGGUGUAUAAAAAAAUCUUUAAUGACUUGUGAUUUUUUUUCCUAAUUUAUAUGGCAUCAUAUUUCAAUG
Molecule: long non-coding RNA, 2898 nt
Organism: Helianthus annuus (common sunflower)
Lineage: Eukaryota; Viridiplantae; Streptophyta; Magnoliopsida; Asterales; Asteraceae
Exons: 16
Source: RefSeq, a predicted model, not a curated record